This is a long non-coding RNA of Bubalus bubalis (water buffalo), 1310 nucleotides long. RefSeq lists it as uncharacterized. The record is from RefSeq and is a predicted model, not a curated record. The transcript has 2 exons. NCBI's taxonomy places the organism in Eukaryota, Metazoa, Chordata, Mammalia, Artiodactyla, Bovidae.
CUGAAUUCUGUUCUACCGUCUUCUUGAUUGUCUGUAACUUAAAACUCUCUUUGCUGCAAACCUCACCUGGAUGUCUUAACAUUUUGGCUUGCUGUGCAUCGGGAAAAGCGAACCUUGUUUAAAAGAAGCAGGAGUAGGGACUCGAAUAUUCCCACCCAGGAUCUGGGUGCUGGUCCUUGGUAGAUUCUGCUUCACCCAAGCUGCAUGGGAGAGUAAGAAGAAAAAGAGGAAGAAAUGAGGAAAGCGGGGAGAAAAGGAGAUGGCUAUGGAAAUGGUGUUAGACAAAAAGAAAAUCUGGGCAGUUUUCUUAUUUGGAUUCAAAUGAGUCGUAAAGCAGCAGAGACAACUGGCAACAUCAACAAUGCAUUUGGCCCAGGAACUGACAACGACGUCCAGUGCAGGGGUGGUUCAAGAAGUUUGGCAAAGGAGACAAGAGCCUUGAAGAUGAGGAGUGCAGUAGCUCGCCUUGGAAAGUUGACAAUGACCAACUAAAAAUCUUCAUCAAAGUUGAUUCUCUUAACAGUUACACAAGAAUGUGCUGAAGAACACAACAUUGACCAUUCUACAGUCGUUCAGCAUUUGAAGCAAAUUGGAAAGGUGAAAAAGCUCGAUAGGUGGGUGCCUCAUGAGCUGACUAAAAUUAAAAAAAAAAACUUUUGAAGUAUCAUCUUCUCUUAUUCUACGAAACAACAACAAACCAUUUCUCAAUCGGAUUGUGACACGUGACGAAAUAUGGAUUUUAUAUGACAACCAGCAACAACCAUCUCAGUGGUUGGACCUAGAAGAAGCCCCAAAGCACUUCCCAAAGCCAAACUUACACCAAAAAAGGGAUCAUGGUCACUGUGUGGUGGUCUGCUGCUGGUCUGAUUCACUACAGCUUUUUGAAUUCCAGCAAAACCAUUACAUCUGAGAGGUAUGCUCAGCAAAUUGAUGACACGCACCAAAAACUGCAAUGCCUGCAGCUGGCAGUGGUCCACAGAAAGGGCCAAAUUUUUCUCCACAACAAGGCCUGACUGCAUGUCCCACAACCAAUGCUUUAAAACUUGGAUGAAUUGGGCUACCAAGUUUUGCCUCAUCUGCCAGGCUCACCCGACUUAAUGCCAAUGAACUACCACUUCUUCAGGCAUCUUGAUGACUUUUUGCAGGGAAAACACUUCCACAACCAGCAGGAGGCAGAAAAUCCUUCCCAAGAGUUCAUGGAAUCCCAAAGAACAGAUUUUUACACUACAGAAAUAAACUUAUUUCCUGUUGGCAAAAUGUGUUGAUUGUAAUGGUUCCUAUUUCGAUUAAUAAAGAUGAAUUUGAGCCUA